AUUUGAAAUCUGGCCCCCCGGGUCCGAGUUGUAAUUUGUAGAGGAUGCUUUUGGCGAGGUGCCUUCCGAGUUCCCUGGAACGGGACGCCAUAGAGGGUGAGAGCCCCGUCUGGUCGGACACCGAGCCUCUGUAAAGCUCCUUCGACGAGUCGAGUAGUUUGGGAAUGCUGCUCAAAAUGGGAGGUAUAUGUCUUCUAAAGCUAAAUAUUGGCCAGAGACCGAUAGCGCACAAGUAGAGUGAUCGAAAGAUGAAAAGCACUUUGAAAAGAGGGUUAAAAAGUACGUGAAAUUGUUGAAAGGGAAGCGCCUAUGACCAGACUUGGGCCCGGUGAAUCAUCCAGCGUUCUCGCUGGUGCACUUUGCCGGGCACAGGCCAGCAUCAGUUUGGCGCGGGGGAUAAAGGCUUUGGGAAUGUGGCUCCCUCGGGAGUGUUAUAGCCCACUGCGCAAUACCCUGCGCCGGACUGAGGUACGCGCAUCGCAAGGAUGCUGGCGUAAUGGUCAUUAGCGACCCGUCUUGAAACACGGACCAAGGAGUCGUCUUCGUAUGCGAGUGUUCGGGUGUCAAACCCCUACGCGUAAUGAAAGUGAACGCAGGUGAGAGCUUCGGCGCAUCAUCGACCGAUCCUGAUGUUCUCGGAUGGAUUUGAGUAAGAGCAUACGGGGCCGGACCCGAAAGAAGGUGAACUAUGCCUGUAUAGGGUGAAGCCAGAGGAAACUCUGGUGGAGGCUCGCAGCGGUUCUGACGUGCG
RNAcentral lists this ribosomal RNA (751 nucleotides) under uncultured Lecanicillium. RNAcentral describes it as "LSU rRNA". It matches the Rfam family "Eukaryotic large subunit ribosomal RNA", at positions 113 to 895 of the family's 3401-position model. Lineage: Eukaryota; Fungi; Ascomycota; Sordariomycetes; Hypocreales; Cordycipitaceae. The record is from RNAcentral.